GCUCGUCAUAUCCAUUGCCCUACUCUUCGCAUCUCAUCACUUCGUCCAAUACCAUAGGGAUGAGAUCGUUCAGUACGGCAAUGGACUGAGCUAGAGU
Caenorhabditis elegans is the source of this 97-nucleotide microRNA precursor. NCBI's taxonomy places the organism in Eukaryota, Metazoa, Nematoda, Chromadorea, Rhabditida, Rhabditidae. The record is from Ensembl.